GCUGUUGUAGUUUAAAAAAACAUUGGUUUUGUAAACCAAAGAAUGGAAGCUAAGCUCCCCCUCAGCAAA
This 69-nucleotide transfer RNA is filed under the name Eurycea bislineata (two-lined salamander). Its description in RNAcentral is "tRNA-Thr". It matches the Rfam family "tRNA". Rfam says of the family: Transfer RNA (tRNA) molecules are approximately 80 nucleotides in length. Their secondary structure includes four short double-helical elements and three loops (D, anti-codon, and T loops). Further hydrogen bonds mediate the characteristic L-shaped molecular structure. tRNAs have two regions of fundamental functional importance: the anti-codon, which is responsible for specific mRNA codon recognition, and the 3' end, to which the tRNAs corresponding amino acid is attached (by aminoacyl-tRNA synthetases). tRNAs cope with the degeneracy of the genetic code in two manners: having more than one tRNA (with a specific anti-codon) for a particular amino acid; and 'wobble' base-pairing, i.e. permitting non-standard base-pairing at the 3rd anti-codon position. Lineage: Eukaryota; Metazoa; Chordata; Amphibia; Caudata; Plethodontidae. The record is from RNAcentral.